Molecule: ribosomal RNA, 490 nt
Filed under: uncultured bacterium
Lineage: Bacteria
Description: partial 16S ribosomal RNA
Rfam family: Bacterial small subunit ribosomal RNA
Source: RNAcentral
AUUGAACGCUGGCGACAGGCCUAACACAUGCAAGUCGAACGGUAACAGGAAGAAGCUUGCUUCUUUGCUGACGAGUGGCGGUCGGGUGAGUAAUGUCUGGGAAACUGCCUGAUGGAGGGGGAUAACUACUGGAAACGGUAGCUAAUACCGCAUAACGUCGCAAGACCAAAGAGGGGGACCUUCGGGCCUCUUGCCAUCGGAUGUGCCCAGAUGGGAUUAGCUAGUAGGUGGGGUAACGGCUCACCUAGGCGACGAUCCCUAGCUGGUCUGAGAGGAUGACCAGCCACACUGGAACUGAGACACGGUCCAGACUCCUACGGGAGGCAGCAGUGGGGAAUAUUGCACAAUGGGCGCAAGCCUGAUGCAGCCAUGCCGCGUGUAUGAAGAAGGCCUUCGGGUUGUAAAGUACUUUCAGCGGGGAGGAAGGGAGUAAAGUUAAUACCUUUGCUCAUUGACGUUACCCGCAGAAGAAGCACCGGCUAACUCCGUG